Molecule: long non-coding RNA, 489 nt
Organism: Daphnia magna
Lineage: Eukaryota; Metazoa; Arthropoda; Branchiopoda; Diplostraca; Daphniidae
Exons: 2
Source: RefSeq, a predicted model, not a curated record
AUAUUAAGCUUUCGGGAUUACAAAUGAAAACAAUUUUUUAAAUGUAUGUCAUUUGAAUGGAGCAAUACCUGCUCACAGAUCCAAAUACCGCCAGUGCACGCUCUUUCCAAUAUGCUGCUAUUAUUAUCGCCCACGAAUUAUCCCAUCAAUGAUUUGGAAAUUUAGUUACGAUGGACUGGUGAAACGCGUUUUGGUUAAAUUGAGGGUUUGCUAGUUACAUGGAGUAUAUCGGCACUGAUGCAGUAAGUAAUAGAAGUCUCAAAUUUCAAUAUACAAUCUUCUUUUAUACUGGAAAUAUAGUCGUUAAGGUUGGGCCGGGUUUUAGAACUACGGACCAGAUUAUCCUUGAAAAUCUACAGUACGUAUUCGGUGUUGAUGCACACACUCCUGCCAAAAUAAACUCAAUAUUUGAUUCUAUUUUAUACGAAAAAGGUUUGUUGAUUGCUACUGAAGCUACAGAAAAAAAUAAAAACAAAAAAGAACAAAACA